Molecule: ribosomal RNA, 899 nt
Filed under: uncultured bacterium
Lineage: Bacteria
Description: bacterial SSU rRNA
Rfam family: Bacterial small subunit ribosomal RNA
Source: RNAcentral
AGAAUGAACGCUGGCGGCGUGCCUAACACAUGCAAGUCGUACGAGAAAUCCCGAGCUUGCUUGGGAGAGUAAAGUGGCGCACGGGUGAGUAACGCGUGGGUAACCCACCUUCGAAUCUGGGAUAACUCCGCGAAAGCGGUGCUAAUACCGGAUAAGACCACAGCCGUUUCGGCGGCAGAGGUAAAAGCUGACCUCUCCAUGGAAGUUAGCGUUCGAGGACGGGCCCGCGUCCUAUCAGCUAGUUGGUGGGGUAAUGGCCUACCAAGGCAGCGACGGGUAGCUGGUCUGAGAGGAUGAUCAGCCACACUGGAACUGGAACACGGUCCAGACUCCUACGGGAGGCAGCAGUGAGGAAUUUUGCGCAAUGGGGGAAACCCUGACGCAGCAACGCCGCGUGGGUGAAGAAGGCUUUCGGGUCGUAAAGCCCUGUCAGGUGGGAAGAAACUCUUCAGUACUAAUAAUGCUGAAGCCUGACGGUACCACCAGAGGAAGCACCGGCCAACUCCGUGCCAGCAGCCGCGGUAAUACGGAGGGUGCAAGCGUUGUUCGGAAUUAUUGGGCGUAAAGAGCGUGUAGGCGGUUCGGUAAGUCAGAUGUGAAAGCCCUGGGCUCAACCCAGGAAGUGCAUUUGAAACUACCAGACUUGAGUACGGGAGAGGAGGGGGGAAUUCCCGGUGUAGAGGUGAAAUUCGUAGAUAUCGGGAGGAAUACCAGUGGCGAAGGCGCCCCUCUGGACCGAUACUGACGCUGAGACGCGAAAGCGUGGGGAGCAAACAGGAUUAGAUACCCUGGUAGUCCACGCCGUAAACGAUGAGCACUAGGUGUAGCGGGUAUUGACCCCUGCUGUGCCGUAGCUAACGCAUUAAGUGCUCCGCCUGGGGACUACGGUCGCAAGACUA